GUGUCAGCAGCCGCGGUAACACGUAGGGCGCGAGCGUUGUCCGGAAUUAUUGGGCGUAAAGAGCUCGUAGGCGGCCUGUUGCGUCCGCUGUGAAAGCCCGGGGCUUAACCCCGGGUCGGCAGUGGAUACGGGCAGGCUAGAGGUAGGUAGGGGAGAAUGGAAUUCCCGGUGUAGCGGUGAAAUGCGCAGAUAUCGGGAGGAACACCGGUGGCGAAGGCGGUUCUCUGGGCCUUACCUGACGCUGAGGAGCGAAAGCGUGGGGAGCGAACAGGAUUAGAUACCCUGGUAGUCC
Molecule: ribosomal RNA, 292 nt
Filed under: uncultured bacterium
Lineage: Bacteria
Description: partial 16S ribosomal RNA
Rfam family: Bacterial small subunit ribosomal RNA
Source: RNAcentral